This 756-nucleotide ribosomal RNA is filed under the name uncultured Tremellodendron. RNAcentral describes it as "eukaryotic LSU rRNA". It matches the Rfam family "Eukaryotic large subunit ribosomal RNA", at positions 216 to 962 of the family's 3401-position model. The record is from RNAcentral. RNAcentral also lists the same sequence under 1 other name. Lineage: Eukaryota; Fungi; Basidiomycota; Agaricomycetes; Sebacinales; Sebacinaceae.
GAAUCCCGUAUAUGGCAUGGACUCCCGUUGCUCUGUGAUACACUCUCGACGAGUCGAGUUGUUUGGGAAUGCAGCUCUAAAUGGGUGGUAAAUGCCAUCUAAAGCUAAAUAUUGGCGAGAGACCGAUAGCGAACAAGUACCGUGAGGGAAAGAUGAAAAGCACUUUGGAAAGAGAGUGAAACAGUACGUGAAAUUGUUGAAAGGGAAACGCUUGAAGUCAGUCGCGCCGUUCGGGAUUCAGCCUUGCUUCUGCUCGGUUUACUUCCCGUUGGGUGGGUCAACAUCAGUUUCGGUCGGAGGAGAAAGACUUGGGGAAGGUAGCAGCAUUCGUGCUGUGUUAUAGCCCCUUGUUGUAUACUUCGGUUGGGACUGAGGACCGCAGCACGCCUUUGGCCGGGGUUCGCCCACGUACGUGCUUAGGAUGUUGGCAUAAUGGCUUUAAGCGACCCGUCUUGAAACACGGACCAAGGAGUCUAACAUGUGCGCGAGUGUUUGGGUGUUAAACUCGGACGCGAAAUGAAAGUGAAAGGUUGGGAACACUUAUGUGUGCACCAACGCCCGGAGCUGACCUUCUGUGACGCAUCUGCGGUAGAGCGUAUAUGUUGGGACCCGAAAGAUGGUGAACUAUGCCUGAAUAGGGUGAAGCCAGAGGAAACUCUGGUGGAGGCUCGUAGCGAUUCUGACGUGCAAAUCGAUCGUCAAAUUUGGGUAUAGGGGCGAAAGACUAAUCGAACCAUCUAGUAGCUGGUUCCUGCC